CAAGGCUUGACAUAUACCGGAAAAGGCUGGAACCAGUCUCCCCGCAAGGUCGGUACACAGGUGGUGCAUGGUUGUCGUCAGCUCGUGUCGUAGAUGUUGGGUUAAGUCCCGCAACGAGCGCAACCCUUCGUUCUAUGUUGCCAGCACGUAAUGGUGGGAACUCAUAGGAGACUGCCGGGGUCAACUCGGAGGAAGGUGGGGAUGACGUCAAAUCAUCAUGCCCCUUAUGUCUUGGGCUUCACGCAUGCUACAAUGCCGGUACAAAGGGCUGCAAUACCGUAAGGUGGAGCGAAUCCCAAAAAGCCGGUCUCAGUUCGGAUUGAGGUCUGCAACUCGACCUCAUGAAGUCGGAGUCGCUAGUAAUCGCAGAUCAGCAACGCUGCGGUGAAUACGUUCCCGGGCCUUGUACACACCGCCCGUCAAGUCAUGAAAGUCGGUAACACCCGAAGCCAGUGGCCCAACCGCAAGGAGGGAGCUGUCGAAGGUGGGAUUGGUAAUUAGGACU
Molecule: ribosomal RNA, 505 nt
Filed under: uncultured bacterium
Lineage: Bacteria
Description: bacterial SSU rRNA
Rfam family: Bacterial small subunit ribosomal RNA
Source: RNAcentral